RNAcentral lists this long non-coding RNA (1131 nucleotides) under Junco hyemalis (dark-eyed junco). Its description in RNAcentral is "lncRNA (ENSJHYG00000016974.1)". The record is from RNAcentral. Lineage: Eukaryota; Metazoa; Chordata; Aves; Passeriformes; Passerellidae.
AUGGUGUGGAAGGAGCAGCCAGGCAAGAGGGAACUGCCAGGCAAGGCUGGUUUUCACCAGCUGUCAGUCCCCGGUUUUAGGGUGAUGAAGGAAGGAAAGCUGAGAGCCCAGGGCAGCUCAUCCACGAGCUCUCCCCGUCCCGCAGGCACAGGUGACAGAGGCACGAGGGGAAGGGAGGGCAAAGGGCUGUGUCUGAGCUUGGGCACUGAUACCCGAUGGCGGCUCUCGCUGUGGCCAGCACCAUCCCGGGGAGUGUAUCUGUGUCCCUGUCCCCAGACCGCUGCCUGCGGGUCCCCGGGCACCCAUGGGGUCCGCACCGCCUCCGCCCCAUGGCGGAGACCGUCCCGGCGGCCCCGCCAGCUCCCGGCAGGGCGAUCUCGGUGCGCUGCCCGCCCCUGCCCGCCCCGGGCGGGCGCGGGGCCCAGCGGAGCGCGGCUCCCCCGCGGUUUCCCACCCAGCAGUGACACCUGGCGGGGGCAGCGCGGGCGGAGCCGGCCCCGGCCCCCGCAUCUACAUCCCGCAUCCUGCAUCCCGCAUCCCGCAUCCCCAUCCCCAUCCUCAUCCCUAUCCCCAUCCCGCAUCUGCAUUCCGCAUCCCACAUCCCCAUCCCGCAUCCUGCAUUCCCAUCCCGCAUCCCCAUCCCGUAUCCCCAUCCCGCAUCCCGCAUUCUGCAUCCCCAUUCUGCAUCCCCAUCCCGCAUCCCCAUCCCGCAUCCCGCUGAGCCCCUUCCCCGGGCGGGGUCCGACGGGGCGGCCGCGAGCGGCGGCUCCCGGCGCAUCCCCGCGGGCGCGGCGGUGGGAGCGGCCCCAGUGCGGGGCGGCGCGGGGGCAGGAGCCCGGAGGGGGCUGUCCGACGUGCCCUCGGGGAGGCGGGGGUCGGUCCGGCCGGAGCGGCGGCUCCGCGCCUCUGACUCUGCCCAAUGAGAGCCCGCAGCACGGCGGGCGCCGGCAAUAUUUGGCCGCGGCCCCCGCGCUCCCAUCCCCAGAGCGCCCUCGCCCUCCGCGCAAGGCCCUCCAUGGCCCGGCCCGGCCCCGCCGCCCGCCCCGCGCCGCUCGGGGGGCGCGGGCCCCGCUGAGCGCCCCCGGCCCCGCGGGGAGGGACCCGCGCCCGCCGCCCCCCGCGGCAGCAUGA